This 226-nucleotide long non-coding RNA is filed under the name Elaeis guineensis (African oil palm). Its description in RNAcentral is "long non-coding RNA (EGUI_LNC063335)". Lineage: Eukaryota; Viridiplantae; Streptophyta; Magnoliopsida; Arecales; Arecaceae. The record is from RNAcentral.
AUAGGUUCCCACGGCCACAGCAGCAACUCUUGCUCCAUUUUCGAUGCAUAGGAUCAUCUCCCCAUCCAUCUACCUCCUGUUCUCCUCAAGAUCCUGCAUAGAAGUGCACAAAUGAGCACUAGAACCAAAGUCAAGUACCCAACUGGAUGCAGAAGAAAUCGUAAGGUUAGAUUCUAUAACGAGCAUACCUCCAGAAGGACUAUCCUUCUUGUUCUUUAGGGUGGCC